Molecule: ribosomal RNA, 452 nt
Filed under: uncultured organism
Description: partial 16S ribosomal RNA
Rfam family: Bacterial small subunit ribosomal RNA
Source: RNAcentral
CGUACACUCCUGCGGGAGGCAGCAGUGGGGAAUAUUGGACAAUGGGCGCAAGCCUGAUCCAGCCAUGCCGCGUGAGUGAUGAAGGCCCUAGGGUUGUAAAGCUCUUUCACCGGAGAAGAUAAUGACGGUAUCCGGAGAAGAAGCCCCGGCUAACUUCGUGCCAGCAGCCGCGGUAAUACGAAGGGGGCUAGCGUUGUUCGGAAUUACUGGGCGUAAAGCGCACGUAGGCGGAUCGAUCAGUCAGGGGUGAAAUCCCAGGGCUCAACCCUGGAACUGCCUUUGAUACUGUCGAUCUGGAGUAUGGAAGAGGUGAGUGGAAUUCCGAGUGUAGAGGUGAAAUUCGUAGAUAUUCGGAGGAACACCAGUGGCGAAGGCGGCUCACUGGUCCAUUACUGACGCUGAGGUGCGAAAGCGUGGGGAGCAAACAGGAUUAGAUACCCGUGUAGUCCCAU